CUGAAACUUAUGUUUUUCUUAGUGUUCAUUCUUAGUCAUCAUUAAAGUACAACUUGGUAAACUACAAAACACAUCAAAUUCAGUUAUAAAAAUUUGAGUAACAAAGGUAUGCGAAUUAUUGUAUUGACUGAAAGAGUGUCAUUGCUAUUAAAAGCAGUGAAGAAUUCAAUACUCUGGAAGAAAAGAAAAUACGUUGUGUAUUUUUGCUGGUCAAUUAUUUGGCACAAAUCGGAGUUAAAGACAAAGGAGUAUAUUUUAUUUGCUAAGAAUAGUUUUUUAAAAUGGCCUAGUUGUAAAAUUAAACUAUGCAGGGAGAGGACAAAAAAUUGGAAUAGAAAAAAUGUUGAUUGCAUAUGCUGCUAUUGAAACUGUGAAGUCAAAUAAGCAUGGCUUAUGCAGACAUGUGAUAGAGAUAGUGGAAGAAAAAAUAAUAAUCGUGGGCACCAAAUAUCAUAAGCUAAACACUAUUCAAUAACAACUACCUCAGCCAAUAUUGAAACUACUCUAUAAAUUUUAUAGUGAAUUUUUUUAUUUAAAACUCAAUGUGUCAGUUUUUUAUUUAAGUUUGGUGUUUGCAAUAUGUAUAUCUAACCAAUAAAUUAUGUUAAAUAAAUAAAUUUUUAU
Hydra vulgaris (swiftwater hydra) is the source of this 624-nucleotide long non-coding RNA. RefSeq lists it as uncharacterized. The record is from RefSeq and is a predicted model, not a curated record. NCBI's taxonomy places the organism in Eukaryota, Metazoa, Cnidaria, Hydrozoa, Anthoathecata, Hydridae.